This is a long non-coding RNA of Triticum aestivum (bread wheat), 6374 nucleotides long. RefSeq lists it as uncharacterized. The record is from RefSeq and is a predicted model, not a curated record. The transcript has 2 exons. Lineage: Eukaryota; Viridiplantae; Streptophyta; Magnoliopsida; Poales; Poaceae.
AAAACACCGCACAUAGGUUGUCCCUCAUGACCUCAAUCACCAUGUCCUCCCUCCAGCAGACCACGGUCUUGCUAUCUUCGGUGGCCAUCCUCUUUCUCGAUCUUUCGCCGGCCUCCUACGGCAGCGGCUAGCUCGCCGCCGCACCCCAAUCAUGCGAGGCCCCUUUCUUUACCCCUGCUGCACAGUCCAGCCGGCCACACGGCCGUCUUUUCAUGGAUCUAGAUGCGUACUCCACUGCUUCUUGGCUCUAGAUCCAUGAAAACUCUGCUUUGUUGUACCUCUAGAGGCUAACAGCGAUAAAAAUGGUUAAUGAAGUGGAUGAGGCAUACCGAUGUCAGUCAAAUUACAACCAUUGGUGAGGCCGCCGAGUGGAGCUACUACAAGAGACGGGCGCAACAGCUCUCUGGACAUGAACAUUGUUCUAGGUCAAUUCGUCAUCAGUCAAUAAGAGGGUAAUCCGAAUUCUGAAAUUUCAUUUUCUAUUUUCUAACCCAUCAAAUCAAUUUAUGGCUUGAGUCUUGAGGUCAUGUUCAUAGGAAAUCAAUUUGCAAUUAUAUGUAACGGUUGCUCCCUACAGUUUUAUCAAACAGCCUUUAAUAUUUCGAAUUUACAACUAUGGCCUAUAGACUAAAGAAUAAGGUAUUUUCAACUUGAUAUUUGGGCAGUCUCGGCAGGUUCUUUUUUGCCCUAGUGUACAACAGCAAGAACUACCGCAAUUAGCUUAUGUAUACUUGAACGAAUCUUCCUGUUUUGUUGGAUCGCCGGUGUCAAUUUGUUCGGGUAGAACCAUAUUUAUUUCUUGGGAAUCCAAAUUGAAAAAGUAGGCCUUUAUACCUUUUUUGUUUCUUACCACAAGAGGGUAUGGAUGACCAUCUCAAUCGGUGGCAUUCCGUUAAUUUUUAAAUCACAAUCCAUCUUACCUUAUAUAUUUACUAAUUGGAAGCACUAAUUGAGACACCAUGUUAAUCCUAGAAAAUUAACAAAAUCAUCCAUCCGAUCUUAGAGUUGCAUCUCUGGAGCCGUCGGAUGAAAUCCGUCAUAGUCCGUACGAACUAUCCCACAUGAGAAAGUUCCUUCUAGGCCUCUCCCUGAAAAAAAUAUUUCCAUCUCACCUCUUCCCCAUCUCUUCCACCCAUCCACGAUCUUCCUCCUCUGCGGCCUCUCCAUGUCCUCUUCUACCCAGCCCCGGUCUAUGUUGCAGACCUUGAAGAACGUGACCCAAUCUAAUACAUAUACAGGCAAUGCCAUGAAUCAUGAAGGUUUGACAUAGGUGACUAUGUCUGUCCUCAACAUACCUGACGUUUGAUCAUUAUUACUGGACCACGCCCUGUCCAAAAAUUAAUUAGGCAAACUGAAGCUAUGUUUAUUCCGUACAUUUUCUCAUGGUUCACGAAGAUAUAUGAAGCAGUUUGGCGAUCCCAAAAUUCAUUGAUCUAAUAUGUAGUUUUUAAUUAAUGAUUCCACUGUCAGUUUUCAUCACUUAUCUGCUCUCUUUUAUCUGAAUUUUAUUUCUAAAGAACACAACACACACACAUGAGGUUGAAGGAAAUAGAGAACAGAAAUUCAGUCAUAGAGAGAGGCUUUUGCCAUGCCAAAACUUGCUUCAUUUUUAGUCUUUCCUUUUAUUUCAUCGCUUAACUGAACAGACGGGAAAUUCGCCACAAUCCAAUAGUUGCGCGUGCCAUCCCACGAGCCCGGAUUGUGCCGGGUCAAACGCUAAUUAAACAAGCUAAAAUUAGGUAUGGGCCACAACAGGAACGCAGCAAGAUUCUGGCUACAGUAAACAUUCAGAUCAAAGACACAUGUGAUUGCUUAUGCAGCUACUGAAGAAAUAAGAGAAACUGAAGAAAAACUUGUAGACAGAUUGAGGUUAACAUCAACAUCCGCAAGCACGAAUCGUCCGACAGGAAAACAGUAAGCAGCACCAGCCCUUCGUUAACUCUAAUAGUACUGUUGUAUGUAUUGAAGUUCUUCUGUUUCACUUCCUUUUUGUUAUGGCCGUGAAAUAGCCAUGGUACAUAAGUCAUUUUUUUUCUUGUGUAUAGAUAUCUCUCCACAUGUUUCCAUGUGAUAGCCAUUGCUAUUUCUUUCCUUAUAUGCAUAUUUAUUUACUAGGUCUGUUAACACGAGUGUCUCCCUAAGGUCCUAAAACAUUUACUGUGAAUUCUAUAUAAAAAAACCAUUUUUUUGCAAAAAAAGGCCAUGUAGAAAGUAACAUGAUAUUUUGUCUUUUAUAUUAAAAUCUAAUAAAUAGUAAAUUGAAAAAAAUACUACGCGCCAUCCGCAGCUCCUUACUGUUCUUUGCAUAUUGUGUAUUUAUAAUAUGAUUUGUAUUGAUAUAUGCAAUUUGCAAAUCGAGUAUGUAUAAUAUUAUUUUUUGGCUCAGUAUGUGUCAGUUAUAUGAUUGUGAUUUAGUGUAAUUAGAUUAUGGAGGUCCUUCUCUUUUUAGGCUAUCGUCAUGUUGGUGCAACAAAUAUCUUCAUGACCAUGUACCUCUUAUGUGAUUAUCCAUUCUUUUAUUUCCAAGUAAAAUUCUACUUUAGGAUGGAUUAGCUAAGCUUUAGAUUGACCCCAAGUCACCACAGGACGCCUUGGUAUUGACAGAAACAUCACGUCAGAUACAAAAAUAAAUACAGAUAAAUGAGAUACAUAAUGCCUCAAAACAAAAGCUUGGGUUCACAAAGUCAAAAUUUCUCAGAUCUCAGGAGCCAUGAUAUGGAGUCCUUCCAAAAAGAUUUACAUCAAACUUAACAAAACUAAAUUGUUUCUACCCAAUUGUUUCCUAAAAGAUGUACGCAUUCUGUUUUGCUUUUAGUUUUCAGUUUGGAGCUACCUGUUGAAUUAGUUUUGUUGGGUGCUCACUAUCUAAAUUAUAACUGUGAUCAACAAAUGUGUAUUGUAUAUGGGAUAAUAUGUGGAUUAUGAUCUCAAGGGUGAAAAGAUAGAUUUAGUACGUCUUGAAUAUUUUGAUUUUCCCAAGUAUUUUAGGGAUACACAAAUGUAGUUGUAAUGUCCAAAUAUCUAUUUCCUCAACAAGCUUCAUUAUGAUCUCAACGCUGAUUUAAUCUAUUCAUCAUUUCAUCCAUGUUGCAUGAAAAUACCAACUGUAUUUAAAGAAGAAAAAAAACUUAUUGUUUGAGUUCAUUCCAAUAUAUUGUAGCAGCAAAUAUUGUUAUCUGCUAAUUCUCAGUUGUGAAUUAGUUUGAAUUUGUUGUGGCCUGUUCUAGAGAUAAUUAGACCGCUCACGAAAUUAGACUACACAUUGGUCAUGUUGCAAGUGUUUAAAAUGGCUGCUCUGACUACAUUUUCAUCUAAGGGUUACUCAUUUAACUGUUACGUACUACUCUUUGGGGUAGCUUUCAUGCCAAAGAAGAGUACCAUAUGCAAAUGUUUAAAGCCAAAUUCUCUUUUUGUGUGGUUUCCCUUCCAGUUUUAUAUCCGUAUAAUCCAGAGUAAAAAAAGGCACCCCGGUGCAUGUAGCUCCCGCUUGCGCAGGGUCUGAUCAUAGAAAAAUAUUUUGUAGUCAUCUCAUAUAAUUUUGCAUGGCAGUUUCGCAGUGAUGAAUUGUAUCCUCUUUUCCUAUCUAGAGGUAAAUUGCAGGGUAGGAAAUCAAAUAUGAGCCUCAAGCAUGAUCAGAUAUAACUGCAAUCUUAGUUGUUAAAAAAAUAAAAUAUGAGCUUCAUUUCUUGUAAACUUCUAGGAUAUUAAAUAUUCUAAAUCAUGUUGCCACAAAUGGCCACAACCAGGAUUAAUAUGAGAACUUUUAAAGAGGGUUGUCGUACAUGGUUUAAUUUUUUGUGAUACCGAUAGAACACAUGUAACAAUAAUGCAUUUGUACGGGUUUGUGCUUGCUUCCUCAACACAAAUUAGUGGGCAAGGCAAUUAGGAACUUUGUGCCACUUACUGGAAACCGAUUAUAUCCCACUGUUUUUUAACUGGCUCGACCUAUUUCUGGUAGCACUUGAAGCUACCAUGGUUUUUGGAUACCCAAAAGACUUAUGUUUUUGCAUUUUCUUAUCCUUUGGCUUGAUCCUGACACACUGAAUUUUCAUUUUGCAGUGUCUCCCUAAGGUCCUAAAACAUUUACUGUGAAUUCUAUAUAAAAAAACCAUUUUUUUGCAAAAAUGGCCAUGUGGAAAGUAACAUGAUAUUUUGUCUUUUGUAUUAAAAUCUAAUAAAUAGUAAAUCGAAAAAAAUACUAUGCGCCAUCCGCAGCUCCUUACUGUUCUUUGCAUAUUGUGUAUUUAUAAUAUGAUUUGUAUUGAUAUUUGCAAUUUGCAAAUCGAGUAUGUAUAAUAUUAUUUUUUUGGCUCAGUCUGUGUCAGUUAUAUGAUUGUUAUUUAGUGUAAUUAGAUUAUGGAGGUCCUUCUGUUUUUAGGCUAUCGUCAUGUUGGUGCAACAAAUAUCUGCAUGACCAUGUACCUCUUAUGUGAUUAUCCAUUCUUUUAUUUCCAAGUAAAAUUCUACUUUAGGAUGGAUUAGCUAAGCUUUAGAUUGACCCCAAGUCACCAUAGGACGCCUUGGUAUUGACAGAAACAUCACGUCAGAUACAAAAAUAAAUACAGAUUAAUGAGAUACAUAAUGCCUCAAAACCAAAGCUUGGGUUCACAAAGUCGAAAUUUCUCAGAUCUCAGGAGCCAUGAUAUGGAGUCCUUCCAAAAAGAUUUACAUCAAACUUAACAAAACUAAAUUAUUUCUACCCAAUUGUUUCCUAAAAGAUGUACGCAUUCCGUUUGGCUUUUAGUUUUGAGUUUGGAGCUACCUGUUGAAUUAGUUUUGUUGGGUGCUCACUAUCUAAAUUAUAACUGUGAUCAAAAAAUGUGUAUUGUAUAUGGGAUAAUAUGUGGAUUGUGAUCUCAAGGGUGAAAAGAUAGAUUUAGUACGUCUUGAAGAUUUUGAUUUUCCCAAGUAUUUUAGGGAUAUAAAAAUGUAGGUGUAAUGUCCAAAUAUCUAUUUCCUCAACAAGCUUCAUUAUGAUCUCAACGCUGAUUUAAUCUAUUCAUCAUUUCAUCCAUGUUGCAUGAAAAUACCAACUGUAUUUAAAGAAGAAAAACACUUAUUGUUUGAGUUCAGUCCAAUAUACUGUAGCAGAAAAUAUUGUUAUCUGCUAAUUCUCAGUUGUGAAUUAGUUUGAAUUUGUGGUGGCCUGUCCUAGAGAUAAUUAGACCGCUCGUGAAAUUAGACUACACAUUGGUCAUGUUGCAAGUGUUUAAAAUGGCUUCUCUGACUACAUUUUCAUCUAAGGGUUACUCAUUUAAUUGUUACGUACUACUCUUUGGAGUAGCUUUCAUGCCAAAGAAGAGUACUAUAUGCAAACGUUUAAAGCCAAAUUCUCUUUUCGUGUGGUUUCCCUUCCAGUUUUAUAUCCGUAUAAUCCAGAGUAAAAAAGGCACCCCGGUGCAUGUAGCUCCCGCUUGCAUAGGGUCUGAUCAUAGAAAAAAAUUUUGUAGUCAUCUCAUAUAAUUUUGCAUGGCAGUUUCGCAAUGAUGAAUAGUAUCCUCUUUUCCUAUCUAGAGGUAAAUUGCAGGGUAGGAAAUCAAAUAUGAGCCUCAAGCAUGAUCAGAUAUAACUGCAAUCUUAGUUGUUAAAAAAAUAAAAAUAUGAGCUUCAUUUGUUGUAAACUUCUAGGAUAUUAAAUAUUCUAAAUCAUGUUCCCACAAAUGGCCACAACCAGGAUUAAUAUGAGAACUUUUAAAGAGGGUUGUCGUACAUGGUUUAAUUUUUUGCGAUACCGAUAGAACACAUGUAACAAUAAUGCAUUUUUAUGGGUUUGUGCUUGCUUCCUCAACACAAAUUAGUGGGCAAGGCAAUCAGGAACUUUGUGCCACUUACUGGAAACCGAUUAUAUCCCACUGUUUUUUAACAGGCUCAACCUAUUUCUGGUAGCACUUGAAGCUACCAUGGUUUUUGGAUACCCAAAAGACUUAUGUUUUUGCAUUUUCUUAUCCUUUGGCUUGAUCCUGACACGCUGAAUUUUCAUUUUGCAGCACUUACACUGCUUGAGGAACCAUGUCUCUUUGAAAAGCUCAUAUGGUUUGAAAUCAAUGUUUAUAUGUAAAGAGAUUUGUCUCAGGUGCAACAAAAAAAGCAGAUCAAUUUGGUGUGCAAGAGGCUGAUGAUAACUAUUUGAUUUUUUUCUUAUCUCUCAGACAUUAUUAAUUUUCUUACCUGUACGAUUCUGUACUUUAUGACACUAUAGCUUCCUAUUAUCAGUGUUUUUGUAGGAUGGUAUGACCAUGUACUGGAUGGUAUUUCACAACCUAAAUGGUCUUUAUCUUUUCUAAAAAAUUAUUGGAUUUAAUACUUUAGUUGACUAAGCUUUGUAAAUUUUAGCUUAAAAUAUAAGACCUUAUUGAGCACAUAUCAAAGUUCUU